ACUACGGGGGGCAGCAGUCGAGAAUCAUUCACAAUGGGGGAAACCCUGAUGGUGCGACGCCGCGUGGGGGAAUGAAGGUCUUCGGAUUGUAAACCCCUGUCAUGUGGGAGCAAAUUAAAAAGAUAGUACCCCAAGAGGAAGAGACGGCUAACUCUGUGCCAGCAGCCGCGGUAAUACAGAGGACUCAAGCGUUGUUCGGAAUCACUGGGCGUAAAGCGUGCGGAGGCUGUUUCGUAAGUCGUGUGUGAAAGGCGCGCGCUCCACCCGCGGACGGCACAUGAUACUGCGAGACUAGAGUCAUGGAGGGGGAACCGGAAUUCUCGGUGUAGCAGUGAAAUGCGUCGAUAUCGAGAGGAACACUCGUGGCGAGGGCGGGUUCCUGGACAUUACCUGACGCUGAGGCACGAAUGCCAGGGGAGCGAAAGGGAUUAGAUACCCCGGUAGUC
Molecule: ribosomal RNA, 446 nt
Filed under: uncultured bacterium
Lineage: Bacteria
Description: partial 16S ribosomal RNA
Rfam family: Bacterial small subunit ribosomal RNA
Source: RNAcentral